RNAcentral lists this long non-coding RNA (162 nucleotides) under Mustela putorius furo (domestic ferret). RNAcentral describes it as "lncRNA (ENSMPUG00000024206.1)". The record is from RNAcentral. Lineage: Eukaryota; Metazoa; Chordata; Mammalia; Carnivora; Mustelidae.
UGGUGCCUUACAGGAAAAGUUGCUGAUCCCUGUUGUAGAGCAUACCAGUUCUGCAACUGCAAUAAUCAGAAGGCUGGAAAGAGACUGGGCUUCAGGAUCACUCAGGGAGGGAGUAUCACAGAGUUAGUUCAAAGAUCCGAGAGCCUGGAAGGAGCUGAUUGA